This 252-nucleotide ribosomal RNA is filed under the name uncultured bacterium. RNAcentral's name for it is "partial 16S ribosomal RNA". It matches the Rfam family "Bacterial small subunit ribosomal RNA", at positions 524 to 776 of the family's 1533-position model. The record is from RNAcentral.
UACGUAGGGAGCAAGCGUUGUCCGGAUUAUUGGGCGUAAAGAGCUCGUAGGCGGUCUGUUGCGUCGGCUGUGAAAACCCGGGGCUCAACUCCGGGCCUGCAGCCGAUACGGGCAGACUAGAGUUCGGCAGGGGAGACUGGAAUUCCUGGUGUAGCGGUGAAAUGCGCAGAUAUCAGGAAGAACACCCGUGGCUAAGGCGGCUCUCUGGGCCGAUACUGACGCUGAGGAGCGAAAGCGUGGGGAGCGAACAGG